GCGUCCGUAGCUCAACUGGAUAGAGCAUCGGUCUUCGGAACCGAGGGUUGUAGGUUCGAAUCCUACCGGGCGUG
This 74-nucleotide transfer RNA is filed under the name Pirellulaceae bacterium. RNAcentral's name for it is "tRNA-Arg". It matches the Rfam family "tRNA". Rfam says of the family: Transfer RNA (tRNA) molecules are approximately 80 nucleotides in length. Their secondary structure includes four short double-helical elements and three loops (D, anti-codon, and T loops). Lineage: Bacteria; Pseudomonadati; Planctomycetota; Planctomycetia; Pirellulales; Pirellulaceae. The record is from RNAcentral.